GACGAACGCUGGCGGCGCGCUUAAUACAUGCAAGUCGAACGAGAAGCCAGAGCUUGCUCUGGUGGAAAGUGGCGAACGGGUGAGUAACACGUGAGAAACCUGCCCAAAGAUUGGGAUAAGCCUUGGAAACGAGGUCUAAUACCAAAUACCUUCCUUUUAACACAUGUUAAAAAGAAGAAAUGCUCCGGCGCUUUGGGAUGGUCUCGCGAUCUAUCAGCUUGUUGGUGAGGUAACGGCUCACCAAGGCAUCGACGGAUAGCUGGUCUGAGAGGAUGUCCAGCCACAUUGGAACUGAGACACGGUCCAAACUCCUACGGGAGGCAGCAGUAGGGAAUCUUGCACAAUGAGGGAAACCUUGAUGCAGCGACGCCGCGUGCGGGACGAAGGCCCUAGGGUUGUAGACCGCUUUCAGUAGGGACGAAAGUGACGGUACCUACAGAAGAAGCCCCGGCCAACUAUGUGCCAGCAGCCGCGGUAAU
Molecule: ribosomal RNA, 479 nt
Filed under: uncultured bacterium
Lineage: Bacteria
Description: bacterial SSU rRNA
Rfam family: Bacterial small subunit ribosomal RNA
Source: RNAcentral